GUCCAAUUCAUCCUGCUUUCCUCGUAUUGCCGAUGAAGAAACAGAUUGGAGAAACAAAAUUGGUCAAAGUUUCACAACUGUUAUGGUUGAGCUGAAGGUAUUUCAGGACAUUUUCCCUUUGCACUGAACACAUGUACUUGUCAAGUUUCUGUCAUUUCUUUUUCUUUCUCUCCUUCUUCAAACGCUGAUGGCUUUUGAUUGAGUCAGCCAAAUACUUGCCGAGCCUGAUCUGUUCAAGUGAGCGAGGAAGGAUGGCUUAGUGGCAGCUGAUCACACAAGGCAGAAUUUUGAGGCCAACAUUGAUGCAUCCAUGGAAGUGGAGGCCACACCUUCUGACACCGUUGUGUUGGGGAUUAAAUUCUCAACGUGCACUUUCAGGACACACGUCAGACCACACAGACACCGCGCAGAUACCAUGAGCAGAGCAGAGACUUGAGGGAAUAUUCUGCUGCAGGAGAGAGGAAAAAGGCUAAGCCGACAAGCAAGCAUGGUCUUUGGUGGAUGGUGCAGAUGGGACACAGCAAGUUAGGCAGAUGGCUAUGCCGUAGACAUCCAACAAGGAGUAACAAGUGGAACCCUGGCAACAAGUGGGGCCCCCGAGGGCCAUCCAGAGUGCUGCAGAUCCAGACGGCAGGCAGCAGCAAGGCUUACCAACAACACAGAAGAAAUAAAGAUCAGUCACUCUUGUGGGCAGAACAUCACCUCUCCCAGGUGCCCUGCCUAUGGUCUGCUCUGUGGACCCAGGGUUUUGAAACACAGGCUCACUGACAGUUGGCAGAGCCUAAAUUAUUCAUGCAUUCUUUGAUUUAAC
Heterocephalus glaber (naked mole-rat) is the source of this 811-nucleotide long non-coding RNA. Lineage: Eukaryota; Metazoa; Chordata; Mammalia; Rodentia; Bathyergidae. The record is from Ensembl.